GAUGAACGCUGGCGGCGUGCCUAAUACAUGCAAGUCGAGCGAAUGGAUUAAGAGCUUGCUCUUAUGAAGUUAGCGGCGGACGGGUGAGUAACACGUGGGUAACCUGCCCAUAAGACUGGGAUAACUCCGGGAAACCGGGGCUAAUACCGGAUAACAUUUUGAACCGCAUGGUUCGAAAUUGAAAGGCGGCUUCGGCUGUCACUUAUGGAUGGACCCGCGUCGCAUUAGCUAGUUGGUGAGGUAACGGCUCACCAAGGCAACGAUGCGUAGCCGACCUGAGAGGGUGAUCGGCCACACUGGGACUGAGACACGGCCCAGACUCCUACGGGAGGCAGCAAUAGGGAAUCUUCCGCAAUGGACGAAAGUCUGACGGAGCAACGCCGCGUGAGUGAUGAAGGCUUUCGGGUCGUAAAACUCUGUUGUUAGGGAAGAACAAGUGCUAGUUGAAUAAGCUGACACCUUGACGGUACUUAACCAGAAAGCCACGGCUAACUACGUGCCAGCCGCCGCGGUAA
RNAcentral lists this ribosomal RNA (515 nucleotides) under uncultured bacterium. Its description in RNAcentral is "partial 16S ribosomal RNA". It matches the Rfam family "Bacterial small subunit ribosomal RNA", at positions 28 to 523 of the family's 1533-position model. The record is from RNAcentral.